AUAUUGGACAAUGGGCGAAAGCCUGAUCCAGCCAUGCCGCGUGUUUGAAGAAGGUCUUCGGAUUGUAAAGCUCUUUAUGUUGGGAGGAAGGGUUGUAGGUUAAUACCCUGCAAUUUUGACGUUACCAACCGAAUAAGGCCCGGCUAACUUCGUGACCGCAGCCGCGGUAAUACGAAGGGUGCAAGCGUUAAUCGGAAUUACUGGGCGUAAAGCGUGCGUAGGUGGUUCGGUAAGAUAGAAGUGAAAGCCCCGGGCUUAACCUGGGAAUUGCAUUUAAAACUGACGAGCUAGAGUACGGUAGAGGGUAGUGGAAUUUCCUGUGUAGCAGUGAAAUGCGUAGAUAUGUGAAGGAACACCGGUGGCGAAGGCGACCACCUGGAAUGAUACUGACACUGAGAUGCGAAAGCGUGGGGAGCAAACAGG
This 423-nucleotide ribosomal RNA is filed under the name uncultured bacterium. RNAcentral describes it as "partial 16S ribosomal RNA". It matches the Rfam family "Bacterial small subunit ribosomal RNA", at positions 361 to 776 of the family's 1533-position model. The record is from RNAcentral.